Molecule: long non-coding RNA, 430 nt
Organism: Chelonia mydas (Green sea turtle)
Lineage: Eukaryota; Metazoa; Chordata; Testudines; Cheloniidae
Exons: 4
Source: RefSeq, a predicted model, not a curated record
UCAUCACCCUGCCUGCUGGCUGGGCAGGGUAACUCCUGAGGUCACCACCCUCCCCAGCCUGCCUUGGGCUUGGGGAGUGAGGAGGAGGGCGAGGGACGUCUGCUGACCCUGAAUAUCCGCCAUCCAUCAUACCAUCACUGAGAGCAAGGAGCCCCCUGGAUUCGGAGCAGGAGGAAGGGGUGGACGUGGCCCAAGAUGAAGCUGCUCUCAAGGUCAUCCGAGAGCAGCUCCAGUGCAGACAUAAGGAUGAGGGGCAGCAGCUCCUGUUCCUGCAGGCCAUCUACCCCGCAUGUCUGGCUGCACGGGAGAGAGGGGAGGACACGCUGGAGCCGCGCUGCUGCAAGGCGGCUGUGGUGAAGAGGAUCGUGGAGCUCAUCGAGGAGCUUCCCGAGGACUCGUCACCCAGCGCCGUCCUCGCCCACUCCCUGGC